Molecule: non-coding RNA, 1867 nt
Organism: Chlorocebus sabaeus (green monkey)
Lineage: Eukaryota; Metazoa; Chordata; Mammalia; Primates; Cercopithecidae
Source: RefSeq, a predicted model, not a curated record
AGCCAAUCAAAAAACUAAUUCUUCCAACGAGAGAUUGUUAUUAUUCCUCAAGAUGACCAGACAGCUUCUGCUUUCUUUUUCCUUUCUUCCAGAUGGAGAUUCAACCAUAAUAGAAAGAAUGGAGAACUAUUAACCGCCUUUCUUCAGUGAGCUGUGAUUUUCAGAGGGGAAUACUAAGAAGUAAUUUUCCAUGUUAAGACUCAAAGGUAAAGACACUGAGGACAGACCUUUUUGGCAGAGCACAGAUGAAAAUGGCAAGUUCCCUGGCGUUUCUUCUGCUCAACUUUCGUGUUUGCCUCCUCUUGGUCCAGCUGCUUACUCCUUGCUCAGCUCAGUUUGCUGUGCUUGGACCCCAUGGGCCCAUCCUGGCCAUGGUAGGUGAAGACGUUGAUCUGCCCUGUCACCUGUUCCCGACCAUGAGUGCAGAGACUAUGGAGCUGAGGUGGGUGAGUUCCAGCCUAAGGCAGGUGGUGAACGUGUAUGCAGAUGGAAAGGAAGUGGAAGACAGGCAGAGUGCACCGUAUCGUGGGAGAACUUCGAUUCUACGGGAUGGCAUCACUGCAGGGAAGGCUGCUCUCCGAAUACACAACAUCACAGCCUCUGACAGUGGAAAGUACUUGUGUUAUUUCCAAGAUGGUCUCUGACAGUGGAAAGUACUUGUCAUUGGGUUCUGAUCUUUCUACAUUGAAGUGAAGGGUUAUGAGGAUGGAGGGAUCCAUCUGGAGGUAGGUCCACCGUCAUUGGUACCUCCACAACCUCAAAUACAGUGGAGUAACACCAAGGACAGUACAUCCCGGCUGUGAAAGCACUCAGGUUGCAGAUGGAGUGGGCCUGCAUGCAGAGUGCAUCCGUGAUCAUGAGAGGCAGCCUGGGAGGGUGUAUCCUGCAUCAUCAGAAAUUCCUCCUUGGCCUGGGAAAAGACAGCCAGCAUCAUCACAAGUGAUACCCUUCUUCAGGACGCCCAGCCCUGGAUCGCAGCCCUGGCAGGACCUCUGCCUAUCCGCUCGCUGCUUCGCAGGAGCCGCCAUCUGUGGAGACAACAGAAGGAAAAUUGCUCUGUCCAGGAGACAAGGAAAGAGAGCGAGAGAUGAAAGAACGGAUAUGCUGCAACAAAGCAGGAAAUAAGCCUUCAAGAGUGGAGAAAAAUCCAGUACAUGGCUCGGGGAGAGAAGUCUUUGGCCUAUCAUGAAUGCAAAAUGGCCCUCUUCAAGCCUGGUGAAUGUCAUUCUGAUCCAGACACGGCAAAUGCCAUCCUCCUUGUUUCUGAGGACCAGAGGAGUGUGUGCAGCGUGCCAAGAGUCAUGUGGAUCUGCCAGACAACCCUGAGAGAUUUGAAUGGCGUUACUGUGUGCUUGGCCAUGAAAACUUCACAUCAGGGAGACAUUUCUGUGGAAGUGAAGUGGGGGACAGAAAAGAAGUGGCAUAUUGGGGUGUGUAGUAAAAACGUGAGAGAAAAAGGUUGGCCAAAUGACACCAGAGAAUGGAUACUGACCAUGGGGCUGACUGAUGGGAUCAAGUAUCGGGCCUCACUGAUCCCAGAACAAACCUGGAAACUUCCUGAGCCCCCUAGGAAAGCGGGGAUCUUCCUGACUAUGAGACUGAGAGAUCUCAUUCUACAAAUGCCACGGAUGGAUCUCAUAUCUACAAUUUUCCGCACACCUCUUCUGGAGCCUCUGUAUCUGUAUUCAGAAUUUUGACCUUGGAGCCCACUGCCCUGACCAUUUGCCCAACACCAAAACAAGUAGAGAGUUCCCCCGAUCCUGACCUAGUCCCUGAUCAUUCCCUGGAGACACCAGUGGCCCCAGAUUUAGCUAAUUGAAAGUGGGAGCCUCAGGCUGAAGCAACAUCUCUGCUUCUGCCUGCCUAA